Molecule: ribosomal RNA, 301 nt
Filed under: uncultured bacterium
Lineage: Bacteria
Description: partial 16S ribosomal RNA
Rfam family: Bacterial small subunit ribosomal RNA
Source: RNAcentral
CAGCAGCCACGGGAAUACGUAGGUGGCAAGCGUUGUCCGGAAUUAUUGGGCGUAAAGGGCUCGCAGGCGGUUUCUUAAGUCUGAUGUGAAAGCCCCCGGCUCAACCGGGGAGGGUCAUUGGAAACUGGGAAACUUGAGUGCAGAAGAGGAGAGUGGAAUUCCACGUGUAGCGGUGAAAUGCGUAGAGAUGUGGAGGAACACCAGUGGCGAAGGCGACUCUCUGGUCUGUAACUGACGCUGAGGAGCGAAAGCGUGAGGAGCGAACAGGAUUAGAUACCCCCGUAGUCCCUGUCUCUUAUAA